RNAcentral lists this ribosomal RNA (401 nucleotides) under uncultured bacterium. RNAcentral describes it as "bacterial SSU rRNA". It matches the Rfam family "Bacterial small subunit ribosomal RNA", at positions 358 to 776 of the family's 1533-position model. The record is from RNAcentral.
GGAAUAUUGCACAAUGGGGGAAACCCUGAUGCAGCGAUGCCGCGUGGAGGAAGAAGGUUUUCGGAUUGUAAACUCCUUUUAUCAGGGACGAUAAUGACGGUACCUGACUAAGAAGCCCCGGCUAAUUACGUGCCAGCAGCCGCGGUAAUACGUAGGGGGCAAGCGUUAUCCGGAUUUACUGGGUGUAAAGGGAGCGUAGACGGAAUUGCAAGUCUGAUGUGAAAAUCCGGGGCCCAACCCCGGAACUGCAUUGGAAACUGUAUUUCUAGAGUGUCGGAGAGGCAAGUGGAAUUCCUGGUGUAGCGGUGAAAUGCGUAGAUAUCAGGAGGAACACCAGUGGCGAAGGCGGCUUGCUGGACGAUGACUGACGUUGAGGCUCGAAAGCGUGGGGAGCAAACAGA